CUUUUUUUCACCUGUGUGGGAAUAGUACCUUCCUCAGUCGUAAGGGCUAACUCUGUGUGGCUGUUUACGUUGUGUUCCGGACUGUUCUGAGUGCCCCACAUAUAUUGACUCAUUUAAUCCUCAUAAUAACGUUUUCACUUUACAGGAAACUUUGAAAAGCACCCCAAAGAACUGAUCAGGGGCCCCAGAUGGCUUCGAGGCUGGAAGGGGAAUGAAUUGCAGCGUUGUAUCCGAAAGAAGAAGAUGGUUGGAAAUCGGAUGUUCAUUGAUGACCUGCACAACCUUAACAAACGCAUCAGCUACCUCUACAAACACUUUAACCGACAUGGAAAGUAUCGCUAGAAGAGAAAGCUGGCAACUGUGGAAGAGGCACAUCAAUCCCCCAGGAGAGGGGGGACAGUACUUUACUUUAUGAAGAAAGGGAUUUGUAGACUCUGUAAUAAAAUGGGGCUCCUUUGGAAUCUGCUGUCCACACACUUUAUUUUCCUCCAGAUGCUGCUUUUACUUGUUACAUAGACUAUGCAUUCUGACCCAUCCCUAAGUCUUAGAGUCUUAGGUUUGGACUUCACCACUUGCCCUUUGCAGUCUAGCCAUACCUGUGGUCUUUAAAAAAGAAAGGUUGUUGUUGGCAUUUUUUGUGGUAGUUUUUAAUUGCCCCAUAGUGCUGUUAUGUUAAUGUGCUUUUAAAAACCUUUCCACACUGGGAUGAAAUGUAAUAGAAAGUGGAAUUGUACUUCUAUACUAUUCUCAUAAAAAACUAUUUAUUGGAUACCUCUUCUGAGCUGAGAACUGUAGGAGAAACAAGAAAGCAUAAUGUAUCCUCCCCAUCUCCCCAUGUGCUUUUCUAGUUAGGGGUAUCAAGUUAUAUUCUCACAUGUGCUUUAAUAUAAGGCAUUAAGUACUAUGUGAGUGGUUCACGUCGGUGGUUCCCAAACCUGACUGGUCGUCAGAAUCAUCUAGGGGGUUUAACAGUUUCACUGGCCUGGGCCCUGCCCCCAAAGAUGUCUAAUCUGUAGAGCUGAGCUGAGUCUUAUGCAUCUAUGCGUGCUUUUUAAAAUAAUUAUAAAAAACCUAUCUAUACAUACAAUAGAAAAUUUAAAAAUUACUAAAGAGUAAUCAGAUGACAAGUUUUCUCAUGGCGUGUUUGAGUUUCUCAGAGGUAACCACUCUUACAAGAUUCUUUUUAAUCCUUCUGGAUGUACACUGGGCAUAUAAAGUUUAUGUUGUCUAUCUGUCAAUCUACUUUAAAAAUGAUUCCAUGCACACUGUUCUGUACCUUUCUUUUUUGCUUAAUAUAAGUUGGAUGUUGUUUCAUAUCCUCACACUAGGUACCAUAAUGAUUUAGCCAGUUCCCUUUUGAUAGAUGUUUAGAUUGUUUCCAG
This 1382-nucleotide long non-coding RNA is filed under the name Equus caballus (horse). RNAcentral's name for it is "mitochondrial ribosomal protein L51 (ENSECAG00000017430.3)". Lineage: Eukaryota; Metazoa; Chordata; Mammalia; Perissodactyla; Equidae. The record is from RNAcentral.